Ribosomal RNA from Malania oleifera, 119 nucleotides. The record is from RefSeq and is a predicted model, not a curated record. NCBI's taxonomy places the organism in Eukaryota, Viridiplantae, Streptophyta, Magnoliopsida, Santalales, Ximeniaceae.
GGGUGCGAUCAUACUAGUACUAAUACACCGGAUCCCAUCAGAAUUCCAUAAUUAAGCAUACUUGGGUGAGAGUAGUACUAAGAUGGGUGACCUUAUGGGAAGUCCUCGUGUUGCAUCCU